UCAAAACAUAGAGGGGCCAAAGGCUUUAUUCAAUGUUGGAGUUCAAGGUGUGAAAGGUAUUAACUUUCCACCUGUUGGAUAAGAAAGAAUUAUGAGGUGUUACCGGAUAAGAUAAUGAAUACUGAGGGGGAGCAAAGACAAAAGUGAAUGACUCACAUUACUACAUUGGCAUGAUAUGAAUCUGGCACUAGGAGAAUAAUUCCAAGUGUGUGCAAGUGCAAAGGUCUUCACUGGAUUUCAUCAAUAUAUAACCGGUUCACACCUAUCUCACUUGCCUAUGUUUCUACCAACUUCUUUCCCAUCACUUCUGUUUCUCUAUCUGUCUACGUAUAUAUAUCACAACUGCUAUUGGUUUAAUGCAUCUUCAACCUAAAAAUAUGAGUAUAAUAAGAAAAGCAAAGGACGUUGGAGGCUAAGAGGAGUGAAUGCACAAGCAAAUGGAAUAGUUCUUUCAUCAGUGCUAAGGUCAUCAACAAGGAUUAAAUAAAUAGCACAGAAGAAGGGACAAAAUAAAUGGUCAAGAGUGGGCUUUGAACCCACGCCCUUUCGGACCCGCACCUGAAGCGGGCGCCUUAGACCAACUCGGCCAUCUUGACGUCUUUGGUUAGAGUUCAACUACAAUUAAUAUAAUGCUUUUUAUAU
Long non-coding RNA from Brassica oleracea var. oleracea, 642 nucleotides. RefSeq lists it as uncharacterized. Lineage: Eukaryota; Viridiplantae; Streptophyta; Magnoliopsida; Brassicales; Brassicaceae. The record is from RefSeq and is a predicted model, not a curated record. The transcript has 3 exons.